This 620-nucleotide long non-coding RNA is filed under the name Actinidia chinensis (golden kiwifruit). RNAcentral's name for it is "long non-coding RNA (ACHI_LNC003615)". The record is from RNAcentral. Lineage: Eukaryota; Viridiplantae; Streptophyta; Magnoliopsida; Ericales; Actinidiaceae.
UUGUAAACUUGUUUAAAACAUGAAAGAGUCUGGAGCUUGUUUGUUUUGUGAAUGAGAAUCUGUUUGUUUCCAGCAAAGCUUCUCUGCGGUAAUUCGUCGAACACCCACUAUGCAUCAAAAACCAAAUCAUUGUCGAGUCAAGUCAACAGGCUCUUCUGCCGAGUAAAAAACCAAAUAAAAAGCUUGGAUUAUUUGAAGGAAUUUUUUGCUAACAGCUUGGGAAAACGUGAGCAACACAGGUGGGAUUCAACAAAGAGAUUAAAAUGGGAAAACAUUAAAAACAAAGAACCCAAAUCAAAAUCGUAGAGAACCUGCAGCGCAACUAAAACUCCUACUCCUUCUAAAGAAAUUAAAUCCUGCUCUUGUCGACGCCACAUACACAACUCCUGCAGCGCAAGUAAAUCAAAAUCGUAGAUAACCCACGAGUGAUUCGAAGAAAAUCCAAAGAGUUACAACAAACCUAUAAAAUGGGCUGAGAGAAAGAGAGAGAGAGAGUGGCUGCACUUGGAGAGAGAGAGAGAGGUGGAGUGAAAUUGGCUGGGAUGGAGAAGUUGAUUUGUAGUGAAAUCGGCUGGGAUGGUGCAGAGAGGGAACAUCCCAUCUCUCUGGUUGUCUCAAAA